This is an RNA transcript of Triticum aestivum (bread wheat), 1815 nucleotides long. RefSeq lists it as uncharacterized. NCBI's taxonomy places the organism in Eukaryota, Viridiplantae, Streptophyta, Magnoliopsida, Poales, Poaceae. The record is from RefSeq and is a predicted model, not a curated record. The transcript is spliced from 2 exons.
GAUGGUGUGUCAAAACCGGUCUGCCAAACGAGGCCGAACAAGUGAUUUCGUCUACAAAUCCCAAUUGCCAAGGCCUAAGGGCCCAGGCCCACUUUGUGGUGAGCAUAAAACCACCGAAAAGACGGCACGCACUCUGUUCUAGGGUUUCCACCGCCGCCGCUACCGCCACCAUCCUGAGAUGCCGACCGAGCUGAAGCGCACCGUGGAGGAUGGUGAUGAUUCCACUUCCACCCGUCUUCGCCAGAAAAUCGUAGUUCCAGAAAAGCCGGUCUAUCUGGUGGUGGCGCACAAGGCGGAGCCAGCGUACUCCAUCCUCAGUGUUGGCACAAUGGCGCCUAAGAUCCCACUGCACCUUAGCCAACGCGGCAUGUCGUUCACUGCCAUGGAGUCGCCGCAGGGGUCCUGGAUCGUUGUCGUGGGCGGGGACGAGCAGAUUCACACCACCAUCUUCGAUGUCACGGCCUCCAAGGAGUGGCAGGGCCCGUGGCUCCAUACCAAUAAGAUGGAGCCCAUCCUGUUUCCACACCGCGACCAGCUCUACGUGCUCUCGAGCCACCCCUCCGUGAAGAGGGGGGCGAUGGGGCUCGACUACCUUCCCUGGUUUGAGCAGAUUAAGACUUCGAGGACGGCCGCCCUAACCAAGCCGAGGUUUGCCUAGAACUCGAGCCGCCGCCCAUCUUUCCGUGCCGCAUCACGCCGCCUGAGUACAUGAUCCCACCGGCUAUACGCGUUGCCUCCUACGCCAUGGUUGGCUCCCAUAUUUUGCUCUCCGUGCAACUGGACAAUGUGGCCAGCCCCGACAAGGCUGCCAGGAAAUACAGGAAAUACAUGGGAACCUGUGGGUACGACGUGGAGAAGAAGGUGUGGGAGAUGGUGCAUGAGAUGAAUCUUCCUUUCCUUGGCCAGGCGGUGCCCCACGGGGACCAACUCUUUCUUGCCCGCUCCAAAGAGAGGGACGGCGCUUAUGUAGUGUACUACAUGCAUGUCGGUCAGUCAACAUCUGGGACCAGCGAGCUGUCCAUUAUUGAGGUUCCGCUGGUGAUGCCAAAGGCCUGACCUGUUCUGGGGGAACUUCUCUUCCCUUUGGGAAGGGGCCGGUUCUCUUCUGUUCACUUUCGAUCUGUCGAUGCUGAACCGGAGUCCAAGUUGGGAAAACCAAGUGAUGUACAUGGCACCUACUCUAUUGUGAAAGAAAAUUUCGAUGAUGCUAUAAUAAUGAAGCAGCAGCGGCAAGUUUACAAAGUAGCUGAUCGGUCGUGUCCAUUGGCUCAUCCUUUCCCUGUGGUUGCUGCUUUCGCAAUGGGCGAUGCAUAGGACCUUGUCGGCAUUGAUGCACCUACAGCCUGAUGUGGCAAUACCGGCAAUCACUUCAACAAUAUAGGUAACUGCUGCAUGGUAACCUAGAAGAGUUGUCGGGAUAGCAGAGGCACUAGACAUCUUACUAAGGGGUGGGGAAUUUGGCAACAGGACAUUGACGCAUGAUUGCUUCUCCGGGGUAUUUACACGCUCAUCAAUGGGCAAGAUUUCAUUAUGGAUGGCCGUGAAACCCUCCUGCAGUUGCUUGGUUAUAUAGCUUCUUGCAGUUCUGACUUCGCUUCCUGGUUCUGAUACCAGAUGUUGUAGCCUAGAUUGACUUUGGAGAGAUUGUAGGGGUAGUUCAUCGGAGGUUGUAUCCUCUGGCGAUUGGUAGGUGUCGUGAUUGGCACAAGUCUUGGCAGCAAAGUUGAGGAUUCAGGGAAUUAGAAGUGAGGAAAGCGCUGAGAUAGAGAGCUUUCUUAUUUCCUGCCUCUGAUUACAUAGGGACAUCUAUAUACA